RNAcentral lists this ribosomal RNA (775 nucleotides) under uncultured Neocallimastigales. RNAcentral's name for it is "partial large subunit ribosomal RNA". It matches the Rfam family "Eukaryotic large subunit ribosomal RNA", at positions 24 to 634 of the family's 3401-position model. Lineage: Eukaryota; Fungi; Neocallimastigomycota; Neocallimastigomycetes; Neocallimastigales. The record is from RNAcentral.
GUAUCUCUGUAGAGUCUGCAUAUCAAUAAGCGGAGGAAAAGAAACUAACAAGGAUUCCCUUAGUAACGGCGAGUGAAGCGGGAAGAGCUCAAAUUUGAAAUCUUCAAGGUUCUACCUUGACGAAUUGUAGUUUAAAGAAGUGUUUUCUGUUAGAUGAGUAGCAAAAGUUCCUUGGAAUGGGACAUCAUAGAGGGUGAGAAUCCCGUAUUUGGUUAUUCAUUCUAGCUUUGUGAUACACUUUCAAAGAGUCGGAUUGUUUGGGAAUGCAGUCCAAAAUGGGUGGUAAAUUUCAUCUAAAGCUAAAUACUGGCGAGAGACCGAUAGCGAACAAGUACCGUGAGGGAAAGAUAAAAAGAACUUUGAAAAGAGAGUUAAACAGUACGUGAAAUUGUCAAGAGGGAAGCGUUUGACACCAGUGUUGUUUUCUCGAAAAUCAAUUAAAAAUGGCAGGAUUUUGUGUUGUAUUGACUUUAUCAGCUUGCUUCACUCUUUUCUUGCUUUUUUUAAUGCACUUUUCGUUUAACAAGUCAACAUCAGUUUCUUUUGUUGUAAAAGGGUCAUUGGAAGGUGGCUUUCUUUUCGGAGAAAGUGUUUAUAGCCUUUGGCUUCUGCAAUCGGAGAGAUUGAGGUCUGCAGCGUAGAUCCUUCGGGGUUAGAUACAUUUGUGCUAAGUUAUAGCCUUUCAUAGACAACUUGUUGACUAUGAUCAGUCAUGUAGCUUACUCGCUUAUGCUAUUUUACCUACGCUUAGGAUGUUGAAGACUCUACAGAGAUA